RNAcentral lists this long non-coding RNA (207 nucleotides) under Hordeum vulgare. RNAcentral's name for it is "long non-coding RNA (HVUL_LNC004241)". Lineage: Eukaryota; Viridiplantae; Streptophyta; Magnoliopsida; Poales; Poaceae. The record is from RNAcentral.
UUUUUUUUUUAUUUUUGGGCUCUUUGGCCUCUUUUUUUUAUUUCCUCACAUGGGACAAUGCUCUAAUAAUGAUGAUCAUCACACUUUUAUUUACUCAUAGCUCAAAAAUUAUGAUGACUCUAUAGGAAAUGCCUCCGGCAGUAUACCGGGAUGUGCAACGAUCUAGCAUGGCGUAUGACGUUGAAAACAUCUCGCUAUCUAUCUUAC